Molecule: RNA transcript, 3316 nt
Organism: Anopheles arabiensis
Lineage: Eukaryota; Metazoa; Arthropoda; Insecta; Diptera; Culicidae
Gene name: serine/threonine-protein kinase meng-po
Exons: 11
Source: RefSeq, a predicted model, not a curated record
UUAAGGUGUGUGUUAACUUCCUGAGAGCGUUAUAAGCGUUAUAACAAGAGUUCAUUUUGUUCAAUAUUUAGUGUAGAUUCAGCAUACAUUGAGGAUAAAAUAUUUGUAGUAUAAAAAAGUGAAUAUGUGGUGUAUUACACAUUAAAUUGUGUGAAGUUUGAAAUAUGUUGUAAAAUAAUCACAUUUAGCUGAACUCGACACUGUCCUGAGGAUAAAAUAAUAGUGUUACACCAUAAAAAUAGUGUGAUAAAGAUCUGAUAUGAGAGCUGGAAAAUGUGAGAAAAUCUGUCGGAAAGAAAUCCUGUAAUAUUCAACAUUGGUAUCUGUGCGAUUUUUUUUAAAGUGUUAACAUAUGUGAUAGUUUGAUACAAUGUAUUUUGAGGCAAUUGAUAGUGCGAAAUGCGACAGUAUGUAUUUUCUGUUGCAAUACAUACGACAACCUCAUAGUUCAAAGCGUAGUGAGUGAUGGAACAUAUUUCAACAUGUUUAAAAGGAUUAUUUUAUUAUAAAAUAUUGCGUCAGUUGCUAGCUGAUUAAGAAUGAUUGGAUUGCUGCAACAACUGUUAAACAAACACGGCUAUUGUAAUUAAAUCCUAUCCGACUGUGUUUCUCACCAUUCCAAUGAAGAACACACAUAAACUUAUGCUUCUUAACCGAGCAAAAAAAAUAUGUUAUUUUUUUAAAGUGAAGCUUUCAUAUAAACUAUUCAUAAUAAUAGAGUCACUGUUUUAGCCUCCAAGAGCAGUAGCGUGAAUGUGGUUCAUUGCUCGAGAACACCAUGAUGUUUCAAUGUUGUUUAUUUGCUCUAAUGAUAGCACAUUGCGUAUCAUCCCCGGACCAAACAAAGCGAGAAGAUUUUCAGCUGAGCCAUCCAUAUAUCGAUGACAUACACAACACUAGCCAGAUUGAUUUCUCAAUUAAUACCAUCCAAGACCUGAACAAUUUUGAUCUUGAAUACUCUGGAAUUCCAAUGUUAAAUGUUCAGGAUAUAUACGACGAAAAUAAUGCAUCACAAGAUGACAAAAGUGGUGCUGGUAACGCUCCAAUAAUGACAGCAGGAGAGAUGAGAUACGAUGAUGGUGACAACAGAAAUGACAUUCUUUACGACAGUUCCGUAAGGAUACUGUCCCCUUUAAACGGUGCGGAAUCUGCGGCCGAAUCCAUUCACGUCAGUUCCCGAACGGAAUUGAACAACUUAGAAGCAGAGCAGGAUACAUUUGAAUCUGUUGGUUCCCAGGGUUUCUUGCAGCACCACUUCGAACCCUCACCGGAUAGCCGACAGCAACUGGAUGGCACUGAAGUUGUUCAAUUAUCAUCAACAUUGUUAACAAUGGGCACGACUUCAAACAAUUUCAACUCUUCACCUACGACUGGCCUCACGGUUCUCACCGUUUUAUCACCAACGGCUGUGGAAGUAUCACUGGAGAAAACCUCCAAUGUAUCUUUACCCAGCGUAUCUACCCAACGAACCAUACAACAUCCCAUGUCCAAUGUCAGAUUGGCUGUUAUGGAAUAUAAUAAAGUCGAUGCCAGCGAAACCGUGAAGAUGGAUGCAACUGGCUCAUAUAACGACCAAAUUACAACGACCCAGAAGAAUAGUGAUAUACAACAAUCGAUAGUAGAUGCUCACAGGAGAAAUAAUCCCAAGAGUAUUCCCAAUUUCCACCCUACUGCAUUCGACGAUACGAUAGCAACUGUUACAUAUUCUAGUUUGCAACGUCAUAGAACAAUUAAUUCAAUGAAUCUUAAUCCUACCACGCCAUCCAUGGUAGUGAAACCAGUAGGUGAACUUCGAAAGUUGCUGAAAAGCACAGGACCCAUCCUAAACUAUGUAUUCGACCAUCAUCCUCCUUACUACAAAUCAACAUAUUACAAUACUAGGUACGGACCUCACUUUGAAACUGAUAAUGUCACGAAUAUCACAGUGCAGAACGGUGAUACACUUUUUUUGAGUUGUAGGAUCAGCCUCCUGCAAGACAAAACGGUGUCCUGGGUGCGACGGAAAAAAGGCGAUACAGCGUUACAGCUGUUGACCGUUGGAAGGCAAACGUAUUCCGGUGAUCCGCGAUACCACAUAGAGUUCCAAUAUCCAAAUAAUUGGCGGCUGAAGAUAUCCAGAGCUCACAAAGAUGAUGAAGGAGUGUACGAGUGUCAGAUAUCAACCCAUCCACCUAAAGUUAUUGUAUACUUUUUAUUCGUUAACGCACCUGAAGUAGCCAUCGUAGACGAAGAAGGUGUGCCAUUAUACGAUAAGUACUACGAAGUUGGAUCGACGAUAAAACUGAUGUGCAAAAUUCGACACAUCUCGAUGUUACGGUCUGUCGUUUAUUGGAUACACAACGAAAACACUCUUAAUCAUGAUACAACACGAGGUGGUAUCAGUGUUAAGACCAACUUAACGGAUAUUGGAGCCAAUUCGACACUUUUUAUAGCUAAAGUUAAGCGACAGGACUCUGGCACCUAUAUGUGUUCCAUUGGACCGAACCAACAUUAUUCUAUUUCAGUGCAUGUGCUCAACGGUACCGCUAACCCCUUCGGAAUCUACCAGCGUUCGUGUGCCUUUUCAAUAAUUUUACAGGCUGUAGACCUUUGGUUUGUCAUUCGGAGUCUCUUCUUCUUCUUCAUGAAAGUUUCUAUAGAAAGAUAAUAGUAAGAGUUGUCGUAGUUGCUCCGGGAAAUCCUCCUUAAAUAAUUAACUAUGUACCCAAUUCCUUAGAUUUUUUUUAUCGUAUUUAUGUCCUAGGAUCCUUCCUAUUAGCACAUUAAUAAGCGAUAAUAACAAACCAAGAAGUACUUUUUUAUGCUACAAAAUUGAAUUGCAUUAUUUUUUUUUUAAUACUUUUCAGCAGCAAAGGUAAUAAUAAGGCAACCAAAGCGGCGAAAAAUUGAAAACAUAUCAUGGAGGCAAUCCUUUUUAACACUUGUGAAUCCUUCAUGGUUUAUUUUACAUAGUAGCAUUUUUAUACUAAUGGAAAAUUGUUUUUCCCAGUUAGCGUAAAAUCCAGAAGAGAAAUAAAAAUACAGAAUUAAUUAAUGGUCCAAUACGCUAAUUCACAUUUGUGUUUAUUCUUAUCAAAUUUAAAGGACUACAGUAGAACGUCGAUUUUGCGGGGACGGAUUAAUCGGCGGACGACUUAACCAUGCGCAUGAGUUUGACAGUUGGUCUGUCGUGGCGAACAUUUUCUGUGAUAAACCGUUCACAACAUAUAAAAUUUGGAAAAUGAAGUAAAAUCCACUGAUAUUACGGAAGAGUUCAAACUAUGGUAGCAUAUGCUUUACCUUCAUGUUCGUGUCUAAAAACUAAACAUCAAACGCG